UGAUAGCUGUGAAGCGUGAGGUUGCUGCUUAUAUAAGCAGGUUUUCCGUGGAGCGAAUGUCAAGUUAGGAAACUGGCGACAA
RNAcentral lists this non-coding RNA (82 nucleotides) under uncultured Lacrimispora sp. RNAcentral describes it as "S10-Clostridia ribosomal protein leader". It matches the Rfam family "S10-Clostridia ribosomal protein leader". The record is from RNAcentral. Lineage: Bacteria; Bacillati; Bacillota; Clostridia; Lachnospirales; Lachnospiraceae.